RNAcentral lists this ribosomal RNA (481 nucleotides) under uncultured bacterium. Its description in RNAcentral is "bacterial SSU rRNA". It matches the Rfam family "Bacterial small subunit ribosomal RNA", at positions 329 to 802 of the family's 1533-position model. The record is from RNAcentral.
AUCGUAACUCCUACGGGAGGCAGCAGUGGGGAAUUUUGGACAAUGGGGGCAACCCUGAUCCAGCAAUGCCGCGUGAUUGAAGAAGGCCUUCGGGUUGUAAAGCUCUUUUGUCAGGGAAGAAACGGUAGUAGCUAAUAUCUAUUACUAAUGACGGUACCUGAAGAAUAAGCACCGGCUAACUACGUGCCAGCAGCCGCGGUAAUACGUAGGGUGCAAGCGUUAAUCAGAAUUACUGGGCGUAAAGCGUGCGCAGGCGGUUGUGUAAGUCAGAUGUGAAGUCCCCGGGCUCAACCUGGGAAGUGCAUUUGAGACUGCAAGGCUAGAGUGUGUCAGAGGGGGGUAGAAUUCCACGUGUAGCAGUGAAAUGCGUAGAUAUGUGGAGGAAUACCGAUGGCGAAGGCAGCCCCCUGGGAUAACACUGACGCUCAUGCACGAAAGCGUGGGGAGCAAACAGGAAUAGAUACCCCGGUAGUCCUAGAGC